AAAUAAAAUAGUAUAAUUAAUAAUGUGUGUGUGUGUCUCUGUGUGUGUGUGUAUAUAUAUAUAUGUAUAUACACACACAGACACACACACACAUUAUUAAUUAUAAUAUU
Molecule: non-coding RNA, 110 nt
Organism: Pelobates cultripes (western spadefoot toad)
Lineage: Eukaryota; Metazoa; Chordata; Amphibia; Anura; Pelobatidae
Source: the annotation of a GenBank genome assembly